GGGGGUAUGGCGGAACUGGCAGACGCAGCGGACUUAAAAUCCGCGGGCCGCACGGCCGUCCGGGUUCGACUCCCGGUACCCCCA
Hydrogenivirga sp. 128-5-R1-1 is the source of this 84-nucleotide transfer RNA. It matches the Rfam family "tRNA". From Rfam's summary of the family: Transfer RNA (tRNA) molecules are approximately 80 nucleotides in length. NCBI's taxonomy places the organism in Bacteria, Pseudomonadati, Aquificota, Aquificia, Aquificales, Aquificaceae. The record is from Rfam.